CGGGGUUAGUGCAUUAAGGGGAUGUUACGCAUAUGAGGGCCCUUCGCGGGAACUUUAAUAACUUUUGAACCAUGAUGAAUGGGGGGAAGCCACUUCACCCCAAUAAAAUAUGGGUCAUUUUGCAGCUAAAACACUAUCAAACUCAUCAUUUGGACUAUUUUUGACCUUGAAAGUGGCCACCUAUUACACCAGUCAUGUGUGAACAUGUAGUUAGUUUAGGGCUUCCACCAGUG
RNAcentral lists this unclassified non-coding RNA (233 nucleotides) under Heterosigma akashiwo. RNAcentral's name for it is "iron transporter like". Lineage: Eukaryota; Raphidophyceae; Chattonellales; Chattonellaceae. The record is from RNAcentral.